Molecule: ribosomal RNA, 95 nt
Filed under: Streptomyces sp. PgraA7
Lineage: Bacteria; Bacillati; Actinomycetota; Actinomycetes; Kitasatosporales; Streptomycetaceae
Also listed under: 1 other name
Description: 23S rRNA. Bacterial LSU
Rfam family: Bacterial large subunit ribosomal RNA
Source: RNAcentral
UAAGGCUCCCAGUAGACGACUGGGUUGAUAGGCCAGAUGUGGAAGCCCGGUAACGGGUGGAGCUGACUGGUACUAAUAGGCCGAGGGCUUGUCCU